UUAAUUAAUAAAAAUAAUUUUAAUAAUUUAUAUUUUUAGUAGAGUUUAUUGAAAAAAUUGAUUUAGUUAUAGUUUAAUUGUAUUGUAAAAGAAUAUUGAAAUAUAAUUUUAUUUAUUAAAAGUAUAAUUUAAUUUUAGUACCUUGUGUAUCAGGGUUUAUUAAAUAAAAAUUAUAAAUUUUAAUUUUCUCGAAUUUAAGAGAGCUAAUAAAUUAUUUUUUUUAUUGUGAAAAAAAUAUUUAUAAUAAUUUAUUGGUAAUGAAAUGUUAUUCGUUCUUAAAUAUAUCUAGUUUAUUUAGAAAUGAAUUUAAUUCAGAUAUUAUUAUUAUUUUAAUAAUUUAAUUUUUUAAGUUAUUAAAUUUUUUAAUAUUAAUAAUUAAAGGGAUUAGCUUUUAAUUAAAAAUUUAUAAAUUAAUAAUAUAUUUUUAAAAAAUGUAGGUUUAGAAAUAGUCAUCAAUAAUAAUUUGUUAUAAUUAAUUUAUUUAAGAAUAUUAUUUUAUAUAGUUUUAAGUUUUUUAUAAAUAAUUAAUUUUUAAUCUUAAAGAUUUAGAUAUAAUGAUAGAAUUAGUAUACAUUUAUUUAUUUAGAUAAUAUUUUUUAAAAGAUUAUUUUAAAGGAAUUCGGCAAAAAUUUUACUCGCCUGUUUAACAAAAACAUGUCCUUUUGGAUUUUUAUAUAAGGUCUAGCCUGCCCACUGAAUUUAUAUUUUAAAUGGCCGCAGUAUUUUGACUGUGCAAAGGUAGCAUAAUCAUUAGUUUUUUAAUUAAAAGCUUGUAUGAAAGGCUGGACGAGGUAAAAUCUGUCUCUAUUUAAAUUAUAAUAGAAUUUAACUUUUAAGUUAAAAGGCUUAAAUAUUAUUAAAAGACGAGAAGACCCUAUAGAUCUUUAUAAUUUAUUAAAUGAAGUUAAUUUAGAAUUAUUUAUGUUUCAUUUAAUAAGAUUAUUUUAUUGGGGUAAUAGAAAGAUUAAAUUAAUUCUUUUUUAUAGUAAACAUUUAUUUAUGAGUAUUAAUGAUCCAAUAUUAUUGAUUAUAAGAUUAAGUUACCUUAGGGAUAACAGCGUAAUUUUUUUAGAGAGUUCAUAUCGAUAAGAAAGUUUGCGACCUCGAUGUUGGAUUAAAGAUUAUUUUAGGUGUAGAAGCUUAAUAAUUUUGGUCUGUUCGACCAUUAAAUCUUUACAUGAUCUGAGUUCAGACCGGUGUAAGCCAGGUCGGUUUCUAUCUUUAAUAAAAUAAAAUAUUUUAGUACGAAAGGACCAAAUAUUUGAUAUAUUUAUAUUUUAUUUAUUGAAUAUU
RNAcentral lists this ribosomal RNA (1293 nucleotides) under Carabus hortensis. RNAcentral describes it as "16S ribosomal RNA". The stretch from base 1051 to 1210 matches the Rfam family "Archaeal large subunit ribosomal RNA", at positions 2542 to 2701 of the family's 2987-position model. Lineage: Eukaryota; Metazoa; Arthropoda; Insecta; Coleoptera; Carabidae. The record is from RNAcentral.